ACCUACGGGACGCAGCAGUAGGGAAUCUUCCACAAUGGACGCAAGUCUGAUGGAGCAACGCCGCGUGAGUGAAGAAGGCUUUCGGGUCGUAAAACUCUGUUGUUGAAGAAGAACACGUUUGAGAGUAACUGUUCAGACGUUGACGGUAUUCAACCAGAAAGCCACGGCUAACUACGUGCCAGCAGCCGCGGUAAUACGUAGGUGGCAAGCGUUAUCCGGAUUUAUUGGGCGUAAAGCGAGCGCAGGCGGUUUUUUAAGUCUGAUGUGAAAGCCCUCGGCUUAACCGAGGAAG
This 292-nucleotide ribosomal RNA is filed under the name uncultured bacterium. RNAcentral's name for it is "partial 16S ribosomal RNA". It matches the Rfam family "Bacterial small subunit ribosomal RNA", at positions 337 to 621 of the family's 1533-position model. The record is from RNAcentral.